This 274-nucleotide ribosomal RNA is filed under the name uncultured bacterium. Its description in RNAcentral is "partial 16S ribosomal RNA". It matches the Rfam family "Bacterial small subunit ribosomal RNA", at positions 523 to 796 of the family's 1533-position model. The record is from RNAcentral.
AUACGGAGGGUGCAAGCGUUGUUCGGAAUUACUGGGCGUAAAGCGCGCGUAGGCGGUCUGUUAUGUCAGAUGUGAAAGUCCUCGGCUCAACCGGGGAAGUGCAUUUGAAACUGGCAGACUUGAGUACUGGAGGGGGUGGUGGAAUUCCCGGUGUAGAGGUGAAAUUCGUAGAUAUCGGGAGGAAUACCGGUGGCGAAGGCGACUUCCUGGCCAAAAACUGACGCUGAGGUGCGAAAGCGUGGGUAGCAAACGGGAUUAGAAACCCCGGUAGUCC